UUCUAAGUGAAUUCCCUCGGUAUGAUAAUUUGUUCAUCAGUUUGUUCCCCGUUUCUUCUCUAGCCUGAGCCUGACACACUAUUCUAGCUAGACAUGGGUGUGGCUCGUAACACCUGAUGACCAAACGGAUCUACGACACCAUCGAAUCUCAAACUUUAACUACCAAAACUAUUGUUUUUCAUCCUCUAGUCCCUUUUAGAAUUACUAAACGUCCUUUUUUGGGCCGAGAUUUCCAGGAACGCUUUCUCGGGGUUUGUGUGCAUGUAUUUCAAACCAUACAGACCUAAAAAUUAGAAGUCAUUCCAUCUUUAUUCCCGUAGAGCCUUCCAGCAGUUCCUAAACCGCUCCAGUCGGAGCAUGUUAUCAUUCUUGUUUGUUCUGAGUGAAUUCCCUCGGUAUGAUAAUUCUAUCAUCAGUUUGUUCCCCGUUUCUUCUCUAGCCUGAGCCUGGCAAACUAUUCUAGCUAGACAUGGGUGUGGCUCGUAACACCUGAUGACCAAACGGAUCUACGACACCAUCGAAUCUCAAACUUUAACUACCAAAACUAUUGUUUUUCAUUCUAUAGUCCCUUCUAGAAUUUCUAAACGUCCUUUUUUGGGCCGAGAUUUCCAGGAAUGCUUUCUCGGGGUUUGUGUGCAAGUAUUUCAAAUCAUACGGACCUAAAAAUUAGAAGUCAUUCCAUCUUUAUUCCCCUAGAGCCUUCCAGUAGUUCCUAAACCGCUCCAGUCGGAGCACGUUAUCAUUCUUGUUAGUUCAUAGUGAAUUCCCUCGGUAUGAUAAUUCUUUCAUCAGUUUGUUCCCCGUUUCUUCUCUAGCCUGAGCCUGGCACAGUAUUCUAGCUAGACAUGGGUGUGGUCGUAACACCUGAUGACUAAAUGGAUCGACGGCACCAUCGAAUCUCAAACUUUAACUGCCAAAACUAUUGUUUUUCAUCCUGUAAUCCCAUUUAGAAUUACUAAACGUCCUUUUUUGGGCCGAGAUUUAGAGGAACGCUUUGUUGGGGUUUGUGUGCAAGUAUUUCAAACCAUACGGACCUAAAAAUUAGAACUCAUUCCAUAUUUAUUCCCCUUGAGCCUUCCAGCAGUUCCUAAACCGCUCUAGUCGGAGCACGUUAUCAUUCUUGUUAGUUCUAAGAGAAUUCCCUCGGUAUGAUAAUUCUUUUAUCAGUUUGUUCCCCGUUUCUUCUCUAGACUGGGCCCGACACACUAUUCUAGCUAGACAUGGGUGUGGCUCGUAACACCUGAUGACCAAACGGAUCUACGGCACCAUCGAAUCUCAAACUUCAACUGCCAAAACUAUUGUUUUUCAUCCUGUAGUCCCUUUUAGAAUUACUAAACGUCCUUUUUUGGGCCGAGAUUUCCAGGAACGCUUUCUCGGGGUUUGUGUGCAAGUAUUUCAAACCAUACGGACCUAAAAAUUAGAAGUCAUUCCAUCUUUAUUCCCGUAGAGCCAUCCAGCAGUUCCUAAACCGCUCCAGUCGGAGCACGUUAUCAUUCUUGUUAGUUCUGAGUGAAUUCCCUCGGUAUGAUAAUUCUUUCAUCAGUUUGUUCCCCGUUUCUUCUCUAGCCUGAGCCUGACAAACUAUUAUAGCUAGACAUGGGUGUGGCUCGUAACACCUGAUGACCAAACGGAUCUAUGGCACCAUCGAAUCUCAAACUUUAACUGCCAAAACUAUUGUUUUUCAUCCUGUAGUCCCUUUUAGAAUUACUAAACGCCCUUCUUUGGGACGAGAUUUCCAGGAACGCUUUCUCGGGGUUUGUGUGAAAGUAAUUCAAACCAUACGGACCUAAAAAUUAGAAGUCAUUCCAUCUUUAUUCCCGUGGAGCCUUCCAGUAGUUCCUAAACCGCUCCAGUCGGAGCACGUUAUCAUUCUUGUUAGUUCUGAGUGAAUUCCCUCGGUAUGAUAAUUCUUUCAUCAGUUUGUUCCCUGUUUCUUCUCUAGCCUGAGCCUGGCACACUAUUCUAGCUAGACAUGGGUGUGGCUCGUAACACCUGAUGACUAAACUGAUCAAUGACACCAUCGAAUCUCAAACUUUAACUGCCAAAACUAUUGUUUUUCAUCCUGUAGUCCCAUUUAGAAUUACUAAACGUCCUUUUUUGGGCCGAGAUUUCCAGGAACGCUUACUCGGGGUUUGUGUGCAAGUAUUUCAAACCAUACUGACCUAAAAAUUAGAAGUCAAUCCAUCUUUAUUCCCCUAGAGCCUUCCAGCAGUUCCUAAACCGCUCCAGUCGGAGCACGUUAUCAUUCUUGUUAGUUCUGAGUGAAUUCCCUCGGUAUGAUAAUUCUUUCAUCAGUUUGUUCCUUGUUUCUUCUCUAGCCUGAACCUGACACACUAUUCUAGCUAGACAUGGGUGUGGCUCGUAACACCUGAUGACCAAACGGAUCUACGGCACCAUCGAAUCUCAAACUUUAACUGCCAAAACUAUUAUUUUUAAUCCUCUAGUCCCAUUUAGAAUUACUAAACGUCCUUUUUUGGGCCGAGAUUUAGAGGAACGCUUUCAUGCGGUUUGUGUGCAAGUAUUUCAAACCAUACGGACCUAAAAAUUAGAAGUCAUUCCAUCUUUAUUCCCCUAGAGCCUUCCAGCAGUUCCUAAACCGCUCCAGUCGGAGCAUGUUAUCAUUCUUGUUAGUUCUGAGUGAAUUCCCUCGGUAUGAUAAUUCUUUCAUCAGUUUGUGGCCCGUUUCUUCUCUAGCCUGAGCCUGACACACUAUUCUAGCUAGACGUGGGUGUGGCUCGUAACACCUGAUGACCAAACGGAUCUACGGCACCAUCGAAUCUCAAACUUUAAGUGCCAAAACUAUUAUUUUUAAUCCUGUAGUCCCAUUUAGAAUUACAAAAAUGUCCUUUUUUGGGCUGAGAUUUCCAGGAACGCUUUCGUGCGGUUUGUGUGCAAGUAUUUCAAACCAUACAGACCAAAAAAUUAGAAGUCAUUCCAUCUUUAUUCCCUU
Molecule: long non-coding RNA, 2950 nt
Filed under: Triticum aestivum (bread wheat)
Lineage: Eukaryota; Viridiplantae; Streptophyta; Magnoliopsida; Poales; Poaceae
Description: long non-coding RNA (TAES_LNC028121)
Source: RNAcentral